GAUGAAGAACGUAGCGAAAUGCGAUAAGUAGUGUGAAUUGCAGAAUUCAGUGAAUCAUCGAAUCUUUGAACGCACAUUGCGCCCCUCGGUAUUCCGUGGGGCACGCCUGUUCGAGCGUCAUUUACACCCUCAAGCGCAGCUUGGUGUUGGGCGUCUGUCCCGCUCUCCGUAGCGCGGACUCGCCUCAAAGUCAUUGGCGGCGGUCGUGCCGGCUCCUCGCGCAGCACAUUUGCGCUUCUCGGAGGCCCGGCGGAUCGGCAUCCAGCAAGCUACUUUUUAUGACUUGACCUCGGAUCAGGUGAGGAUACCCGCUGAACUUAAGCAUAUCAAUAAGCGAGGA
This 340-nucleotide unclassified non-coding RNA is filed under the name soil metagenome. RNAcentral describes it as "partial contains 5.8S ribosomal RNA, internal transcribed spacer 2, and large subunit ribosomal RNA". The stretch from base 1 to 120 matches the Rfam family "5.8S ribosomal RNA", at positions 35 to 154 of the family's 154-position model. The record is from RNAcentral.